GACGAACGCUGGCGGCGUGCUUAACACAUGCAAGUCGAACGAAGAGCGAUGGAAGCUUGCUUCUAUCAAUCUUAGUGGCGAACGGGUGAGUAACGCGUAGUCAACCUGCCCUUCAGAGGGGGACAACAGUUGGAAACGACUGCUAAUACCGCAUACGAUCUAAUCUCGGCAUCGAGGAUGGAUGAAAGGUGGCCUCUAUUUAUAAGCUAUCACUGAAGGAGGGGAUUGCGUCUGAUUAGCUAGUUGGAGGGGUAACGGCCCACCAAGGCGAUGAUCAGUAGCCGGUCUGAGAGGAUGAACGGCCACAUUGGGACUGAGACACGGCCCAGACUCCUACGGGAGGCAGCAGUGGGGAAUCUUCCGCAAUGGACGAAAGUCUGACGGAGCAACGCCGCGUGAGUGAUGACGGCCUUCGGGUUGUAAAGCUCUGUUAAUCGGGACGAAAGGCCUUCUUGCGAAUAGUUAGAAGGAUUGACGGUACCGGAAUAGAAAGCCACGGCUAACUACGUGCCAGCAGCCGCGGUAAUACGUAGGUGGCAAGCGUUGUCCGGAAUUAUUGGGCGUAAAGCGCGCGCAGGCGGAUCGGUCAGUCUGUCUUAAAAAUUCGGGGCUUA
Molecule: ribosomal RNA, 614 nt
Filed under: uncultured organism
Description: SSU rRNA
Rfam family: Bacterial small subunit ribosomal RNA
Source: RNAcentral